GUCCUUUAGAAUUAUAUUUAAGGUCUAACCUGCCCACUGAAAUUUAUUUUAAAUGGCCGCAGUAAUUUGACUGUGCAAAGGUAGCAUAAUCAUUAGUUUUUUAAUUAAAAGCUUGUAUGAAGGGUUGGACGAGGUAAAAUCUGUCUCUAAUAAAUUUAAUUUAGAAUUUAACUUUUAAGUUAAAAGGCUUAAAUAAGAUUAAAAGACGAGAAGACCCUAUAGAUCUUUAUAAUUUAUUUAUUAAAUUUAAUUAAGAAUUUUUUAAAUUUUAUUGAUUAAAUUAUUUUAUUGGGGUAAUAUAAAGAUUUAAAUAAUUCUUUUUUUUUAUUAACAUUAAUUUAUGAAUUUAUGAUCCAAUUUUAUUGAUUAUAAGAUUAAGUUACCUUAGGGAUAACAGCGUAAUUUUUUUAGAGAGUUCUUAUCGAUAAAAAAGUUUGCGACCUCGAUGUUGGAUUAAAGAUUAUUUCAGGUGUAGAAGUUUGAAAAUUUUGGUCUGUUCGACCAUUAAAUCUUUACAUGAUCUGAGUUCAGACCGGCGUAAGCCAGGUCGGUUUCUAUCUUUAAUAAAUUAAAAUAUUUUAGUACGAAAGGACCAAUUAUUUAAUAUAGUUAUUUUUAUUUUUGAUUAUUAUUAA
Molecule: ribosomal RNA, 635 nt
Filed under: Nebria rubicunda maroccana
Lineage: Eukaryota; Metazoa; Arthropoda; Insecta; Coleoptera; Carabidae
Description: partial large subunit ribosomal RNA
Rfam family: Bacterial large subunit ribosomal RNA
Source: RNAcentral